ACUCAAAGGAAUUGACGGGGGCCCGCACAAGCGGUGGAGUAUGUGGUUUAAUUCGACGCAACGCGCAGAACCUUACCUGGUCUUGACAUCGCGAGAUCGCUGCAGAGAUGUAGCUUUACCUUCGGGUACUCGUAGACAGGUGCUGCAUGGCUGUCGUCAGCUCGUGUUGUGAAAUGUUCGGUUAAGUCCGGCAACGAGCGCAACCCCUGUCCUUAGUUACCAUCAUUAAGUUGGGGACUCUAGGGAGACUGCCGGUGUUAAACCGGAGGAAGGCGGGGAUGACGUCAAGUCCUCAUGGCCCUUACGACCAGGGCUACACACGUACUACAAUGGCGAAAACAAACCGCUGCAAACUAGUGAUAGUAAGCUAAUCGGAAAAACAUCGUCUCAGUCCGGAUUGAAGUCUGCAACUCGACUUCAUGAAGUUGGAAUCGCUAGUAAUCGCAGAUCAGCACGCUGCGGUGAAUACGUUCCCGGGCCUUGUACACACCGCCCGU
This 497-nucleotide ribosomal RNA is filed under the name uncultured bacterium. Its description in RNAcentral is "partial 16S ribosomal RNA". It matches the Rfam family "Bacterial small subunit ribosomal RNA", at positions 899 to 1397 of the family's 1533-position model. The record is from RNAcentral.